This is a long non-coding RNA of Peromyscus californicus insignis, 1338 nucleotides long. RefSeq lists it as uncharacterized. NCBI's taxonomy places the organism in Eukaryota, Metazoa, Chordata, Mammalia, Rodentia, Cricetidae. The transcript has 2 exons. The record is from RefSeq and is a predicted model, not a curated record.
AAGAAAAAGAAACUAGAAGAGUCAGGGGGUUGGAACAUACCUGUAAUUGUAACUCUGGGGAUAAGAAGUUCAAAAAACAAAGAUAAUAAAAAGCUGAGAAUAUCAAUAAAGCCAAAAAUGAUAAAUCUCCUUGGAUGGGUGAGCACACUCCUGAUUCCCAGCACUCAGGAGGCUGAGGCAAGAUUAUGAUUCAAGACCAGUUUGGAUUGUCCAAGCAAGAUCUUUUCUGAAGAAAAAAAGGUUCAGGUGAGAUGACUCAGCUGGCAAAGAUCUCUAGAAACUUCCAAGCAUCACAUCUAUCAAAGGACUAUUGUGUUUUGUCAAGUAGCUUUUGAUUGUAUAGACAACAUUAUUAGCUUAGAUUUACACAUUGAAGAGCCUUGGUGUGUUCCCAGUUGGGGGUAGGGCUUUUGAAUAAUGUUGCUAUUUACAAUUACCUACGAGCUCUUAUGUGCGUACAAGUCUUAAUUUGUCUUGAGUAAAUUUCCAGGGAUUAAUGGAUCACAUGGCAAGUGGAUGUUUAUAAAAAAUUGUUCAACUCCUUUUCCAAAAUGGCUAUCCCAUUCUGUACUCCCAAACAUAAGUAACGGGAGCAAAGCUCUGUCGCUCUGCAUCCUCACCAGCUUUGGUAUCAAUGACGAUACACACGCUUUCAACCAAACACACAAUAUACGAAAUAAAGAUUUUUAAACUGGGCGUUUAAACCUCAAGUGCUGGGAUUAUGGAUGAGUCAUCACGUAGGGCUGUGGGAGGAUAGUCAGGAACUGAGGACCAGGAAGGGUUAAAUGACCCAAUUCAUCACAAAAUCAGGAUUCGUUCACAGACACCGGCUAAGCUCCUUCUACCGCCCGGGUUCUUUAGGCUCAUUUUCCCACCCUCAGCCUGGCUGCUGGGACAGAAUACCUCAAACACAUCACGUUUUUGCUUGCGUGGGUCGGCUUACUGCUAAGGGAUGCGCUAAUUACAGACCCCAGAACUGAGUUGGAGGGGGAGGAAAAAAAAAAAUCCGGAAGCCGCGAGCCCGCAGCUUGCAAACUGCCAGUUUCUUCCCAGCUCCAUGGUUGGAGUGUGACCUUUCUACACUCUGGAGGACUCAGAAAGCAAGACCAAUGAGUCGAUCGCUCCUGUGCGCAUGACAAUAAAGCUGGGUUCCUAUUGGUCAGUAUCGCAAAAGCCCGCCCAAUAACUUCCGGAAGCCUUCUUUAAGUUAAGGUCUCGCGACCAUUUCUGUCUCUUUGCGACCGGCAGACCUCGAAGAUCUGCCCAGCGGAAGACAGCAGACAGCGUGGACCUCUCCACCCUUUCCCCAAGCCUCUGAAUAAAGUGUUUGGACUCUAA